This 465-nucleotide ribosomal RNA is filed under the name uncultured bacterium. RNAcentral describes it as "bacterial SSU rRNA". It matches the Rfam family "Bacterial small subunit ribosomal RNA", at positions 917 to 1382 of the family's 1533-position model. The record is from RNAcentral.
GGGCCCGCACAAGCGGUGGAGCAUGUGGUUCAAUUCGACGCAACGCGAAGAACCUUACCGGGGUUUGAACUGCACGGGACAGCCUCAGAGAUGAGGUCUUCCUUCGGGACCCGUGUAGAGGUGCUGCAUGGCUGUCGUCAGCUCGUGUCGUGAGAUGUUGGGUUAAGUCCCGCAACGAGCGCAACCCUUGCCUCCUGUUGCUAACGAGUAAAGUCGAGCACUCUGGAGAGACUGCCGGUGAUAAACCGGAGGAAGGUGGGGAUGACGUCAAGUCCUCAUGGCCUCUAUGCCCCGGGCUACACACGUGCUACAAUGGCUGGUACAAAGGGUUGCAAAACCGCGAGGUGGAGCUAAUCCCAAAAAACCAGUCCCAGUUCGGAUUGCAGUCUGCAACUCGACUGCAUGAAGUUGGAAUCGCUAGUAAUCGCGGAUCAGCACGCCGCGGUGAAUACGUUCCCGGGCCUU